UGGGGAAUAUUGGACAAUGGGCGCAAGCCUGAUCCAGCCAUGCCGCGUGGGUGAAGAAGGCCUUAGGGUUGUAAAGCCCUUUCGGCGGGGAAGAUGAUGACGGUACCCGCAGAAGAAGCCCCGACUAACUCCGUGCCAGCAGCCGCGGUAACACGGAGGGGGCAAGCGUUGUUCGGAAUUACUGGGCGUAAAGGGCGCGUAGGCGGCAUAUCAAGUCAGAGGUGAAAGCCCCGGGCUCAACCUGGGAAUUGCCUUUGAAACUGAUAAGCUAGAGUCCGGAAGAGGAUAGCGGAAUUCCCAGUGUAGAGGUGAAAUUCGUAGAUAUUGGGAAGAACACCAGUGGCGAAGGCGGCUAUCUGGUCCGGUACUGACGCUGAGGCGCGAAAGCGUGGGGAGCAAACAGGAUUAGAUACCCCUGUAGUCC
This 424-nucleotide ribosomal RNA is filed under the name uncultured prokaryote. Its description in RNAcentral is "bacterial SSU rRNA". It matches the Rfam family "Bacterial small subunit ribosomal RNA", at positions 355 to 796 of the family's 1533-position model. The record is from RNAcentral.